CCUACGGGUGGCAGCAGUGAGGAAUAUUGGUCAAUGGCCGAGAGGCUGAACCAGCCAAGUCGCGUGAGGGAAGACGGCCCUACGGGUUGUAAACCUCUUUUGUCGGGGAGCAAAGAGCGUCACGUGUGACUCAUUGCGCGUACCCCAAGAAAAAGCAUCGGCUAACUCCGUGCCAGCAGCCGCGGUAAUACGGAGGAUGCGAGCGUUAUCCGGAUUUAUUGGGUUUAAAGGGUGCGCAGGCGGAGGUGCAAGUCAGCGGUCAAAUUGCGGGGCUCAACCCCGGACUGCCGUUGAAACUGCAUGCCUUGAGUGCGCGAGAAGUAGGCGGAAUGCGUGGUGUAGCGGUGAAAUGCAUAGAUAUCACGCAGAACUCCGAGUGCGAAGGCAGCAUACCGGAGCGCAACUGACGCUCAUGCACGAAAGCGUGGGUAUCGAACAGGAUUAGAUACCCGGGUAGUC
RNAcentral lists this ribosomal RNA (459 nucleotides) under uncultured bacterium. RNAcentral's name for it is "partial 16S ribosomal RNA". It matches the Rfam family "Bacterial small subunit ribosomal RNA", at positions 338 to 795 of the family's 1533-position model. The record is from RNAcentral.